AGUCCCAAGACGGGGGUCUUAAAGAGACAGGAGCUGCGAUAGGGGCCGGGAACUUCAAUUCUCUGUCUCCCCACCAAGGAAAUGAGUGGGUACUGCAAUGUGUGAUGAGUAACAUUACUGUGAGCUUAGAUAGGCAGAUGCCAAAGCCCAGUGAGCUGAUGACUUUUACCUCCCUCUCUUCAAAUUUAAAUCUUCUCAGCCUUAAACACGUUUGCAAAUUCUCAUCCCAACCUGCUUCCUCCCUCUCAGCAACUUCAUUUCCCUGGGUGAUGAGUUCUGAAUUCACCCCCCAGCCCUGAGGAACUGGAACUUGUUGAACUCCACUGUCCAAGAGCAUCUCACUCUGGAAUGGAUGCCCUCAGAAAAGGAGGGAACAGAAAUCUCCACAAACACCCAUCUGAAGGGCACAGAAGACAGGUCCAGCACAUUGCACAUGACCAGGAGGUGCAGCUGGACUUGGAACACUCCUGGGGACAUGGUGGAAGCUGUACAAAUCAGAGAGACCAAGUGAUCUACCACAGUCACCAAGAAGCUCCCAAAAGAUCUGGGAGCAAAAAGAAAAAUAAAUUUAAACUGUGGUUUUGUGCUCAGUCCUGUCCUCGGGGCUCACCUGGAAGGCUGUGGCAUUUACCUUGUCCCAGCAUGGAAAGAACCUGCUCCUUUAUUCCUGGAGGGAGGUUUGCACCACCUGGGACUGGGGCGGUGACUUUACAGGGCUUCCUCUACCGCAAUAAAGCCAGGAAAUGCUCUCUGGAAACACACUAGAGACAGCUCUGCGGGGAGAGCGACUCUCUCACCACAUCGACUGAUGGAAUCAGACAAGGAAAAACAACCGGAUUCCAGCGGUUUCCAGCGUGCAGUACCGCCUGUCCCCAGUGCUCGUCCUCACUGCGCGUCCUAAGCCACCAGCCUGACACACAGCCCAUCCCGCCCCAGGGAUCCCAUCCCACAGAACCCAUCCCACUGAUCCCACCCCAGGGAUCCCACCCCACAGAUCCCAUCCCACCCAUCCCCCGGACGAACACGCUCCAGCUCCCCAUUUAUAAACAAACCCAGAGAAAACCACUCUGUUUUUCAGAUUCUAUUUCAAGUUCACAGUUUGGAGACACACAGCAUUUGUGAUUGGUAUUGAUUCUCAUCACCCUUCUGGAAAAAAAUCAGCAGUAAAAUUCCUCAGUUUACAGGCAAGGAUUUCACGAGGAGGAAAAAUCAAGGCACUAACAGGAGCGGAGUGUCAACAUUUCAGUGUUAUCUCUAGCAUUUCUUUCCUGGUAUUAAAAACAUGCUUUUAAAUCCAAACAAGUUCCUUAUCCUGCUCUUGCUCCACACUGAAAGUACAACAAUGCUGUCAGCAGGAAAAAGAAGACCAUGAAAUCAAGUCCAUUUGUGAUCCCACAGAGGGGAGAAAUAAUCAGGUAUGAAACAGAGUUGUCUCCCAACUCCAAGUUGGUUCCCAAGUUGCUGCAUCCUCCUGCUGAAAGCCCUGCCUGGGGUGCUCACCUUCACAAGAAGAGCUUCUUACUCAUCUCUUCUGUGAGGUGCAAGUUCUCAGCACUGACUUUGGUCUCCUCCAGAAGGAAGCCUCUGCAUCCCACAUGGGACCAUGGCAGUGAUUCCAGAGGGGCUGCUGGAGAAGUGAAGCAGCUGGAUGACAACUCAGGGUUUGUUCACAUCCUGAUGAUGGAAAAAUGAAAGAGGCAGGGACGUGGUUUGGAAUGUGCCAGAGCUGCCUCUGGCCAAGCUCACUGGAGAGCACGGAGGAGCCCUGAGGCUGUUGAGUUUCUGGGGAUGGGUGAGGCACUGCAAGAACAUCUCCAAGAGCAGGAAUGGCACUUUGUGCUUUAUGGAGCACUUUUUUAGGGAGCACAGCAAAACUCCAAGGAAAGUUAAGGGCAGUUGUUGAGAUCCUGGUUGAUUUACAGACACAGAGACAGCAGAUUCCUCCUGGGCACUGUACAGUGGCUACACAGCUGGGAAUAAAGCUCAAAUCCCAGCAACUCCUUCAUUAUAACCUCAAGCACCAAACAGUGAAUCCUAUUGUAAAUCCCUGGCUGAAAAUUCCCCUCUCCCACACACCUGCCCACCAGCUCUGAAAAAAAAAAAGAGAUUGUGCUAAUAUUGGUGGGUGAAAUUUCUAAAGCUGAGCAGUAUGAACAUCCCCAACAGCACUGCUACAUUCCACUUAAUUCUUCUAACCCA
Serinus canaria (Common canary) is the source of this 2199-nucleotide long non-coding RNA. RefSeq lists it as uncharacterized. The transcript is spliced from 2 exons. NCBI's taxonomy places the organism in Eukaryota, Metazoa, Chordata, Aves, Passeriformes, Fringillidae. The record is from RefSeq and is a predicted model, not a curated record.